RNAcentral lists this ribosomal RNA (511 nucleotides) under uncultured Glomus. Its description in RNAcentral is "SSU rRNA". It matches the Rfam family "Eukaryotic small subunit ribosomal RNA", at positions 569 to 1083 of the family's 1831-position model. Lineage: Eukaryota; Fungi; Glomeromycota; Glomeromycetes; Glomerales; Glomeraceae. The record is from RNAcentral.
AGCAGCCGCGGUAAUUCCAGCUCCAAUAGCGUAUAUUAAAGUUGUUGCAGUUAAAAAGCUCGUAGUUGAAUUUCGGGAUCAAGGAAUCGGUCAUGCCUUGGUAUGUACUGGUUUUAUUGGUUCUCACCUUCUAAAGAACCAUAAUGUCAUUUAUUUGAUGUUAUGGGGAAUUAGGACUGUUACCUUGAAAAAAUUAGAGUGUUUAAAGCAAGCUUACGCUUGAAUACAUUAGCAUGGAAUAAUGAAAUAGGACAUCAGAUUCUAUUUUGUUGGUUUCUAGGAUCGAUGUAAUGAUUAAUAGGGAUAGUUGGGGGCAUUAGUAUUCAAUUGUCAGAGGUGAAAUUCUUGGAUUUAUUGAAGACUAACUACUGCGAAAGCAUUUGCCAAGGAUGUUUUCAUUAAUCAAGAACGAAAGUUAGGGGAUCGAAGACGAUCAGAUACCGUCGUAGUCUUAACCAUAAACUAUGCCGACUAGGGAUCGGAUGAUGUUAAUUUUUAAUGACUCAUUCGG